Molecule: long non-coding RNA, 634 nt
Organism: Gossypium raimondii (Peruvian cotton)
Lineage: Eukaryota; Viridiplantae; Streptophyta; Magnoliopsida; Malvales; Malvaceae
Exons: 2
Source: RefSeq, a predicted model, not a curated record
UUAAAAGAAAUAAAAGAGUGCGUCGCAUCUGUCACAGAAUUGGAGGGACUAACUGUGUAAAAUACCCAUUAGGGUAAUAAUGCACAACCCUCUUUCCUUUACAAGACGCCGUUUGAUAUUUUUAAAAAGAAAUAAAAUAAAAUAAAACUUUCAAAUCACUCUAAUCUGCCAUUCUUUAAGAAAAUAAAGCAAAAAAGUGAAACCCUAGCCCCCCUUCUUUUUCUCUCCACCGCUUGAGAAACUAAGAGCCACUCUUCCUCAACUCUGAUUUGGACGGAGAGAAGAAGAGCUUCGACGGCGCCACGGUGGUCAACAGAGGCGGAGCUUGCUAUUUUGGUGCAAUGCUUGGUUGGCGGUGGCUAGGGUGUCAGGUAAGCCUCGGGACGAGGCACGGAUGGUACGCCCGAGGGAGCGGCGCACAUGGGAAAGGCAGGGAACCCUAGGGUUCCCUGAUGUUUUUUUUUUAAAUUUUUGGGCCCAAUUGGGCCAAUUUAGAUUUUGGGCCUUGGGCCGGGUAUUGUAAUUGGGCUUCGAGAUUGGGUUAACUAUUUAGUUUGGAGGCCCGGGAAAAUUUGGGCUGUACAGAUAACUUUGCUAAAGUAGCGUACACGUGGAUUGCCACGUCAUCAAUUAA